GUGGGGAAUCUUGCGCAAUGGGCGAAAGCCUGACGCAGCCAUGCCGCGUGAAUGAUGAAGGUCUUAGGAUUGUAAAAUUCUUUCACCGGGGACGAUAAUGACGGUACCCGGAGAAGAAGCCCCGGCUAACUUCGUGCCAGCAGCCGCGGUAAUACGAAGGGGGCUAGCGUUGCUCGGAAUUACUGGGCGUAAAGGGCGCGUAGGCGGACAGUUUAGUCAGAGGUGAAAGCCCAGGGAUCAACCUUGGAAUUGCCUUUGAUACUGGCUGUCUUGAGUACGGGAGAGGUGAGUGGAACUCCGAGUGUAGAGGUGAAAUUCGUAGAUAUUCGGAAGAACACCAGUGGCGAAGGCGACUCACUGGCCCGUUACUGACGCUGAGGCGCGAAAGCGUGGGGAGCAAACAGGAUUAGAUACCCGGGUAGUCC
RNAcentral lists this ribosomal RNA (425 nucleotides) under uncultured bacterium. Its description in RNAcentral is "partial 16S ribosomal RNA". It matches the Rfam family "Bacterial small subunit ribosomal RNA", at positions 354 to 796 of the family's 1533-position model. The record is from RNAcentral.